This 445-nucleotide unclassified non-coding RNA is filed under the name Fusarium solani. Its description in RNAcentral is "sequence contains 18S rRNA gene, ITS1, 5.8S rRNA gene, ITS2, 28S rRNA gene". The stretch from base 120 to 273 matches the Rfam family "5.8S ribosomal RNA". Lineage: Eukaryota; Fungi; Ascomycota; Sordariomycetes; Hypocreales; Nectriaceae. The record is from RNAcentral.
AACAUACCUAAACGUUGCUUCCGGGGGAACCGAAGGGCCCGGAAACGGGCCGCCCCCCCCCAAGGACCCCACUCUGUUUYUAUAAUGUGUCUUCUGAAUAAAACAAGCAAAUAAAUUAAAACUUUCAACAACGGAUCUCUUGGCUCUGGCAUCGAUGAAGAACGCAGCGAAAUGCGAUAAGUAAUGUGAAUUGCAGAAUUCAGUGAAUCAUCGAAUCUUUGAACGCACAUUGCGCCCGCCAGUAUUCUGGCGGGCAUGCCUGUUCGAGCGUCAUUACAACCCUCAGGCCCCCGGGCCUGGCGUUGGGGAUCGGCAGAAGCCCCCUGUGGGCACACGCCGUCCCUCAAAUACAGUGGCGGUCCCGCCGCAGCUUCCAUUGCGUAGUAGCUAACACCUCGCAACUGGAGAGCGGCGCGGCCAUGCCGUAAAACACCCAACUUCUGAA